GUGCUGUAUGAAAAGAGAGAAGCUUAGCACUCCCCUUGCCUAGGAAGGAAGAGGCCCUCAGGCUUGACAACAUGCAUACAGUUAAGGCACUGCCACCUACUUUGUGGCAUCUAACCAUUGUUUAAU
RNAcentral lists this non-coding RNA (126 nucleotides) under Microcebus murinus (gray mouse lemur). The record is from RNAcentral. Lineage: Eukaryota; Metazoa; Chordata; Mammalia; Primates; Cheirogaleidae.